Molecule: ribosomal RNA, 498 nt
Filed under: uncultured bacterium
Lineage: Bacteria
Description: partial 16S ribosomal RNA
Rfam family: Bacterial small subunit ribosomal RNA
Source: RNAcentral
AUUGAACGCUGGCGGCGUGCCUUACACAUGCAAGUCGAACGGUAACGCGGGGCAACCUGGCGACGAGUGGCGAACGGGUGAGUAAAGCAUCGGAACGUGCCCAGUAGUGGGGGAUAGCCCGGCGAAAGCCGGAUUAAUACCGCAUACGACCUAUGGGUGAAAGGGGGGGAUCGCAAGCUCUCUCGCUAUUGGAGCGGCCGAUGUCAGAUUAGGUAGUUGGUGGGGUAAAGGCGUACCAAGCCGACGAUCUGUAGCUGGUCUGAGAGGACGACCAGCCACACUGGGACUGAGACACGGCCCAGACUCCUACGGGAGGCAGCAGUGGGGAAUUUUGGACAAUGGGCGCAAGCCUGAUCCAGCCAUGCCGCGUGCGGGAAGAAGGCCUUCGGGUUGUAAACCGCUUUUGUCAGGGAAGAAAUCCUUUGGGUUAAUACCUCGGGGGGAUGACGGUACCUGAAGAAUAAGCACCGGCUAACUACGUGCCAGCCGCCGCGGUAA